UGAUUGUUCUGAUUAUUAUUCUGAUUGCUCCAAUUGAAAUUUUGGUUGUUGUUCCCUCAGUUACAAUUUCCUUGUUGUUGUUGAUUGCCCCAAAUGCCUUGGGGUCUCCAUUUUUCUUGGUUGGAAGAAUUGCCUCUUUGGCUUUGAUAGUUGUUCACAUAUUUCACCUCUUCAUUCUGCCCAUCAUAACCAUCAUCUGGGAAUACACCACAAUCAUUGUCAAAUUGCUCCGAACUCCCUCGGUUCUGUUGAUCUCUUUGUCUUCUUUUGUUCAUUAGUAUGUUGACAUCCUCCAUGACAUUCACUUGGCGAGGAUUUUGAACUGGUUGCAACUGUGCUUUGCUAGUUCGUUCUUGUUGUCAGCUCAGCUAUGGCCUACUCAUGGUCAUGUAGCUCUUUAUGCAAAUGAGUGACCGCGGG
RNAcentral lists this long non-coding RNA (420 nucleotides) under Nicotiana benthamiana. RNAcentral's name for it is "long non-coding RNA (NBEN_LNC025813)". The record is from RNAcentral. Lineage: Eukaryota; Viridiplantae; Streptophyta; Magnoliopsida; Solanales; Solanaceae.